Molecule: ribosomal RNA, 569 nt
Filed under: Salmonella enterica subsp. enterica serovar Infantis
Lineage: Bacteria; Pseudomonadati; Pseudomonadota; Gammaproteobacteria; Enterobacterales; Enterobacteriaceae
Also listed under: 9 other names
Description: partial 23S ribosomal RNA
Rfam family: Bacterial large subunit ribosomal RNA
Source: RNAcentral
CGUAAUCCGGGUUGCGGACAGUGUCUGGUGGGUAGUUUGACUGGGGCGGUCUCCUCCUAAAGAGUAACGGAGGAGCACGAAGGUUGGCUAAUCCUGGUCGGACAUCAGGAGGUUAGUGCAAUGGCAUAAGCCAGCUUGACUGCGAGCGUGACGGCGCGAGCAGGUGCGAAAGCAGGUCAUAGUGAUCCGGUGGUUCUGAAUGGAAGGGCCAUCGCUCAACGGAUAAAAGGUACUCCGGGGAUAACAGGCUGAUACCGCCCAAGAGUUCAUAUCGACGGCGGUGUUUGGCACCUCGAUGUCGGCUCAUCACAUCCUGGGGCUGAAGUAGGUCCCAAGGGUAUGGCUGUUCGCCAUUUAAAGUGGUACGCGAGCUGGGUUUAGAACGUCGUGAGACAGUUCGGUCCCUAUCUGCCGUGGGCGCUGGAGAACUGAGGGGGGCUGCUCCUAGUACGAGAGGACCGGAGUGGACGCAUCACUGGUGUUCGGGUUGUCAUGCCAAUGGCACUGCCCGGUAGCUAAAUGCGGAAGAGAUAAGUGCUGAAAGCAUCUAAGCACGAAACUUGCCCCGA